GCUUCAGAUCUGAAAUCAGUUCAUUUAUUGUUCCAUUCAUCAUCGGACUCGGUAGUGGAAUUAUCCUCGUACUGCUGCUGCUGUGCUGCUGCAGAAAGAUAAAGGAUCUUUGUUGUAACAGUCUCACUCAGUCUCAGAGCACCAAUCAAAGCUCUGCUGCACAACAAAACGCCAACAACGAUGAGAAUAACGUUUACACCUCUAUUCUU
Pelmatolapia mariae (spotted tilapia) is the source of this 209-nucleotide long non-coding RNA. RefSeq lists it as uncharacterized. The record is from RefSeq and is a predicted model, not a curated record. NCBI's taxonomy places the organism in Eukaryota, Metazoa, Chordata, Actinopteri, Cichliformes, Cichlidae. The transcript is spliced from 3 exons.